AUUGAACGCUGGCGGCAGGCCUAACACAUGCGAGUCGAGCGGAUGAAGGGAGCUUGCUCCUGGAUUCAGCGGCGGACGGGUGAGUAAUGCCUAGGAAUCUGCCUGGUAGUGGGGGAUAACGUCCGGAAGCGGGCGCUAAUACCGCAUACGUCCUGAGGGAGAAAGUGGGGGAUCUUCGGACCUCACGCUAUCAGAUGAGCCUAGGUCGGAUUAGCUAGUUGGUGGGGUAAAGGCCUACCAAGGCGACGAUCCGUAACUGGUCUGAGAGGAUGAUCAGUCACACUGGAACUGAGACACGGUCCAGACUCCUACGGGAGGCAGCAGUGGGGAAUAUUGGACAAUGGGCGAAAGCCUGAUCCAGCCAUGCCGCGUGUGUGAAGAAGGUCUUCGGAUUGUAAAGCACUUUAAGUUGGGAGGAAGGGCAGUAAGUUAAUACCUUGCUGUUUUGACGUUACCAACAGAAUAAGCACCGGCUAACUUCGUG
Molecule: ribosomal RNA, 484 nt
Filed under: uncultured bacterium
Lineage: Bacteria
Description: partial 16S ribosomal RNA
Rfam family: Bacterial small subunit ribosomal RNA
Source: RNAcentral